Molecule: unclassified non-coding RNA, 203 nt
Filed under: soil metagenome
Description: partial contains 5.8S ribosomal RNA, internal transcribed spacer 2, and large subunit ribosomal RNA
Source: RNAcentral
AAGACUAUAGACCUGCGGAGUACCUGCGGAGGGAUCAUUACCGAGUUUAUAAAACUCCCACCCUUGUUUACUGUCUGUUGCUUCGGCGAGACGAUUGGAAUCAACCACUGGCUGUUGCUGGUGUGUGCUCGCCGGAGGUUUUCACGCGAAUAUCUGCUGUCAGAGUUUUUGACGAAUUUAAAAACUUUUAGCAACGGAUCUCU